UACGGGGGGAGCAAGCGUUGUUCGGAUUUACUGGGCGUAAAGGGCGCGUAGGCGGCCUCCGCAAGUCAGUUGUGAAAUCUCCGAGCUUAACUCGGAAAGGUCAACUGAUACUGCGGGGCUAGAGUGCGGAAGGGGCAACUGGAAUUCUUGGUGUAGCGGUGAAAUGCGUAGAUAUCAAGAGGAACACCUGCGGCGAAGGCGGGUUGCUGGGCCGACACUGACGCUGAGGCGCGAAAGCUAGGGGAGCAAACGGG
RNAcentral lists this ribosomal RNA (254 nucleotides) under uncultured bacterium. RNAcentral describes it as "partial 16S ribosomal RNA". It matches the Rfam family "Bacterial small subunit ribosomal RNA", at positions 524 to 776 of the family's 1533-position model. The record is from RNAcentral.